Long non-coding RNA from Xiphophorus hellerii (green swordtail), 249 nucleotides. RefSeq lists it as uncharacterized. The record is from RefSeq and is a predicted model, not a curated record. The transcript has 3 exons. Lineage: Eukaryota; Metazoa; Chordata; Actinopteri; Cyprinodontiformes; Poeciliidae.
CUUUACAAUUACACAACAAAAACUAUGUAUCUAUUACUCACAGAAAUUCAAACAAUCUUUAUAAAAUCUUCCAUUAGCCCCUCUAGAAGUAAGUGGAUGAGGUUGAUUGGCAGCGCUAAGACCCUCCUCUUGGUUCUGAUUGGUUGUUUUUGGUCAGAACGGUGCAUUUCUUUAGCCAGCAGUAGCAGCUCAGGAAGGAGAUGGAGAAGAUUGAUCUUUAUUACAGAUUAUCUUUACAUUACAAAUGAG